This 120-nucleotide ribosomal RNA is filed under the name uncultured bacterium. RNAcentral's name for it is "partial 16S ribosomal RNA". It matches the Rfam family "Bacterial small subunit ribosomal RNA", at positions 215 to 334 of the family's 1533-position model. The record is from RNAcentral.
GCGGUUAAAGAUGGGCGUGCGCCUGAUUAGGUAGUUGGCGGGGUAACGGCCCACCAAGCCUGCGAUCAGUAACUGGUGUGAGAGCACGACCAGUCACACGGGCACUGAGACACGGGCCCG